GGGGAUGUAGCUCAAUGGUAGAGCACCUGCCUAGCAUGUGUGAGGCCCUGGGUUCAAUCCCCAGUACUGCCA
RNAcentral lists this transfer RNA (72 nucleotides) under Urocitellus parryii (Arctic ground squirrel). RNAcentral describes it as "Spermophilus parryii (Arctic ground squirrel) tRNA". It matches the Rfam family "tRNA". Rfam says of the family: Transfer RNA (tRNA) molecules are approximately 80 nucleotides in length. Their secondary structure includes four short double-helical elements and three loops (D, anti-codon, and T loops). The record is from Rfam by way of RNAcentral. RNAcentral also lists the same sequence under 2 other names. Lineage: Eukaryota; Metazoa; Chordata; Mammalia; Rodentia; Sciuridae.